AAAUUGAAGAGUUUGAUCAUGGCUCAGAUUGAACGCUGGCGGCAGGCCUAACACAUGCAAGUCGAACGGUAACAGGAAGAAGCUUGCUUCUUUGCUGACGAGUGGCGGACGGGUGAGUAAUGUCUGGGAAACUGCCUGAUGGAGGGGGAUAACUACUGGAAACGGUAGCUAAUACCGCAUAACGUCGCAAGAC
Molecule: ribosomal RNA, 193 nt
Filed under: Escherichia coli
Lineage: Bacteria; Pseudomonadati; Pseudomonadota; Gammaproteobacteria; Enterobacterales; Enterobacteriaceae
Also listed under: 2 other names
Description: partial 16S ribosomal RNA
Rfam family: Bacterial small subunit ribosomal RNA
Source: RNAcentral